RNAcentral lists this ribosomal RNA (497 nucleotides) under uncultured bacterium. RNAcentral describes it as "partial 16S ribosomal RNA". It matches the Rfam family "Bacterial small subunit ribosomal RNA", at positions 28 to 507 of the family's 1533-position model. The record is from RNAcentral.
GAUGAACGCUGGCGGCGUGCCUAAUACAUGCAAGUCGAGCGAACAGACGAGGAGCUUGCUCCUCUGACGUUAGCGGCGGACGGGUGAGUAACACGUGGAUAACCUACCUAUAAGACUGGGAUAACUUCGGGAAACCGGAGCUAAUACCGUAUAACAUGUUGAACCGCAUGGUUCAACAGUGAAAGACGGUCUUGCUGUCACUUAUAGAUGUAUCCGCUCCGCAUUAGCUAGUUGGUAAGGUAACGGCUUACCAAGGCAACGAUGCGUAGCCGACCUGAGAGGGUGAUCGGCCACACUGGAACUGAGACACGGUCCAGAAUCCUACGGGAGGCAGCAGUAGGGAAUCUUCCGCAAUGGGCGAAAGCCUGACGGAGCAACGCCGCGUGAGUGAAGAAGGUCUUCGGAUCGUAAAACUCUGUUAUUAGGGAAGAACAAAUGUGUAAGUAACUAUGCACGUCUUGACGGUACCUAAUCAGAAAGCAACGGCUAACUACGUG